UGUAUAGGAAUCAGAAAGCAGUGAUUGCUGACAUCAAUUGAAAAUGUUGUUGUUUAUGUAAUAAGAUCAAAUUUUAAAGUCUUUACUCUUUUUUUUCCUAGGUUUAACAAUGUUAAAAUGAAGAUAUUACUAAAAUGGCCCUCUAAAUAGCCCAACAAUUAUUAUUUUCUUUGUCCUAUGGAUUUGGCUUUGAAAGAUGUGCUGCUCUUAAUAAGUGUGUAGUCAUUAAACCCAGAACCUCAGAGGGCUCUACUACUAAACCAUAUACCAGUACCAAAACCGAAAAAUAUUGACGCUACUUUUGUGCUGAAUAU
This 314-nucleotide long non-coding RNA is filed under the name Mus spicilegus (steppe mouse). RNAcentral describes it as "lncRNA (ENSMSIG00000024695.1)". The record is from RNAcentral. Lineage: Eukaryota; Metazoa; Chordata; Mammalia; Rodentia; Muridae.